GCUCAGGAUGAACGCUGGCGGUAUGCUUAACACAUGCAAGUCGAACGGGAUGCUUAGGCAUCUAGUGGCGGACGGGUGAGUAACGCGUGAGAAUCUGGCUCCAGGUCGGGGAUAACAGUUGGAAACGACUGCUAAUACCGGAUGUGCCGAGAGGUGAAAGAUUUAUUGCCUGGAGAUGAGCUCGCGUCUGAUUAGCUAGUUGGUGGUGUAAGGGACCACCAAGGCGUCGAUCAGUAGCUGGUCUGAGAGGAUGAUCAGCCACACUGGGACUGAGACACGGCCCAGACUCCUACGGGAGGCAGCAGUGGGGAAUUUUCCGCAAUGGGCGAAAGCCUGACGGAGCAAUACCGCGUGAGGGAGGAAGGCUCUUGGGUCGUAAACCUCUUUUCUCAAGGAAGAAGAAAGUGACGGUACUUGAGGAAUAAGCAUCGGCUAACUCCGUGCCAGCAGCCGCGGUAAUACGGAGGAUGCAAGCGUUAUCCGGAAUGAUUGGGCGUAAAGGGUCUGCAGGUGGAACUGAAAGUCUGCUGUUAAAGAGUUUGGCUUAACCAAAUAAAAGCGGUGGAAACUACAGAACUAGAGUGCGGUAGGGGCAAAAGGAAUUCCUGGUGUAGCGGUGAAAUGCGUAGAUAUCAGGAAGAACACCGGUGGCGAAAGCGUUUUGCUAGACCGUAACUGACACUGAGGGACGAAAGCUAGGGGAGCGAAUGGGAUUAGAUACCCCAGUAGUCCUAGCCGUAAACGAUGGAUACUAGGCGUGGCUUGUAUCGACCCGGGGG
Molecule: ribosomal RNA, 779 nt
Filed under: Cylindrospermopsis raciborskii N2
Lineage: Bacteria; Bacillati; Cyanobacteriota; Cyanophyceae; Nostocales; Aphanizomenonaceae
Description: bacterial SSU rRNA
Rfam family: Bacterial small subunit ribosomal RNA
Source: RNAcentral